GGGCAGCAAGCAAUGCUUUUACAAUCCAACUACGAACUUUUCUUUUUUUUUUAAUUUCAAAUUUUUUUUCUUUUUUUUACACUUUGUUGAAUACAAUAGAAAGUUUUGAACACAAUUUUUUUUCAAUUUUUUUUUCAAUUUUUUUUACAAUCUCGUAAUACCGAUUACAACGAUUCUUACUCUAAUUCAGCAAGCUCUGAUACCA
This 205-nucleotide long non-coding RNA is filed under the name Gossypium raimondii (Peruvian cotton). Its description in RNAcentral is "long non-coding RNA (GRAI_LNC001379)". Lineage: Eukaryota; Viridiplantae; Streptophyta; Magnoliopsida; Malvales; Malvaceae. The record is from RNAcentral.